RNAcentral lists this long non-coding RNA (203 nucleotides) under Brassica napus (rape). RNAcentral describes it as "long non-coding RNA (BNAP_LNC008142)". Lineage: Eukaryota; Viridiplantae; Streptophyta; Magnoliopsida; Brassicales; Brassicaceae. The record is from RNAcentral.
GUGGUGCACCUUUGCCUGUCCAAGAAGUUGAUGAUAUGGAUGAUGAAGCUUCGGAUGAUGAUAGUGUUUAUGUUAGGGAUGAUUGUGAAGGUUUAUUAGUGGUAGAUUGAUAGGUUGUAUGUUUGUGUGAUGGUUUGUAUGAAUGUGAUAAUGUUGUGUUAUGGGUUUUUAAAUAAUUAUAUAGUUUUUUGGAUUAUUAAUAA